This 417-nucleotide small RNA is filed under the name Pan troglodytes (chimpanzee). Its description in RNAcentral is "processed transcript". Lineage: Eukaryota; Metazoa; Chordata; Mammalia; Primates; Hominidae. The record is from RNAcentral.
AUCCUCCAAAUGUACAUAUUAUUGGAAAUCUGCCUUUUAGUGUUUCAACUCCACUGAUUAUCAAGUGGCUUGAAAAUAUUUCCUGUAGAGAUGGACCUUUUGUUUAUGGCAGAACUCAGAUGACUUUGACUUUUCAAAAGGAAGUGGCAGAGAGACUUGCAGCCAAUACAGGAAGCAAACAGCGUAGUCGCCUCUCUGUUAUGGCUCAGUACCUCUGCAAUGUUCGACACAUCUUUACAAUUCCAGGACAAGCUUUUGUCCCCAAACCAGAGUCCUGCCUAUGCCUUUCGGGGCAUUUAAAAUUGCUACUAGAAAGUUCUGUGGCUUUUCAGACUACACUCAUGAAUUCGGUCCAGCUGAUUAAUCAGUGUCUACCGAAAAUAAGUGGUGUCUCUAUCUGGGAAGUUUAGCACUGAG